This 72-nucleotide transfer RNA is filed under the name Actinomycetota bacterium. RNAcentral describes it as "tRNA-Ile". It matches the Rfam family "tRNA". From Rfam's summary of the family: Transfer RNA (tRNA) molecules are approximately 80 nucleotides in length. Lineage: Bacteria; Bacillati; Actinomycetota. The record is from RNAcentral.
GGGCCCGUAGCUCAGUGGCAGAGCAGGGCACUCAUAAUGCCUCGGUCGCAGGUUCGAUCCCUGCCGGGCCCA